Molecule: ribosomal RNA, 252 nt
Filed under: uncultured bacterium
Lineage: Bacteria
Description: partial 16S ribosomal RNA
Rfam family: Bacterial small subunit ribosomal RNA
Source: RNAcentral
UACGUAGGUCCCGAGCGUUGUCCGGAUUUAUUGGGCAUAAAGCGAGCGCAGGUGGUUUAUUAAGUCUGGUGUAAAAGGCGGUGGCUCGACCAUUGUAUGCAUUGGAAACUGGUAGACUUGAGUGCAGGAGAGGAGAGUGGAAUUCCAUGUGUAGCGGUGAAAUGCGUAGAUAUAUGGAGGAACACCGGUGGCGAAAGCGGCUCUCUGGCCUGUAACUGACACUGAGGCUCGAAAGCGUGGGGAGCAAACAGG